RNAcentral lists this ribosomal RNA (844 nucleotides) under uncultured Cellvibrio sp. RNAcentral describes it as "bacterial SSU rRNA". It matches the Rfam family "Bacterial small subunit ribosomal RNA", at positions 1 to 801 of the family's 1533-position model. Lineage: Bacteria; Pseudomonadati; Pseudomonadota; Gammaproteobacteria; Cellvibrionales; Cellvibrionaceae. The record is from RNAcentral.
GCCAAUGGCCUCAAAUCAUCCCGACGCCGCAAUUUAUGAUACUGCAGAUUCCCCUAAAGUUGACCUGCUCAGAUGAACCUGCGGCAGCCUAACACAUGCAAGUCGAGCGGUUGAGGUAGCUUGCUACCGAUGCAGCGGCGAACGGGUGAGUAAUACAUGGGAAUCUGCCUGGUAGUGGGGGACAACGUUUCGAAAGGAACGCUAAUACCGCAUACGCGCUACGGGGGAAAGGGGGGGAUCUUCGGACCUCUCGCUAUCAGAUGAGCCCAUGUCGGAUUAGCUAGUUGGUGGGGUAAAGGCUCACCAAGGCGACGAUCCGUAACUGGUCUGAGAGGAUGAUCAGUCACACUGGAACUGAGACACGGUCCAGACUCCUACGGGAGGCAGCAGUGGGGAAUAUUGGACAAUGGGCGCAAGCCUGAUCCAGCCAUGCCGCGUGUGUGAAGAAGGCCUUAGGGUUGUAAAGCACUUUCAGUGGGGAGAAAGGUGAUUCACCUAAUACGUGAGUUAAUUGAUGUUACCCACAGAAGAAGCACCGGCUAACUCCGUGCCAGCAGCCGCGGUAAUACGGAGGGUGCAAGCGUUAAUCGGAAUUACUGGGCGUAAAGCGCACGUAGGUGGUUUGUUAAGCUAGCUGUGAAAUCCCCGGGCUCAACCUGGGCACUGCAGUUAGAACUGGCAAGCUAGAGUAGGGUAGAGGGGUGUGGAAUUCCAGGUGUAGCGGUGAAAUGCGUAGAUAUCUGGAGGAACAUCAGUGGCGAAGGCGACACCCUGGACUCAUACUGACACUGAGGUGCGAAACCGUGGAAAGCAAACAGGAUUAGAUACCCUGGUAGUCAAGGGC